ACGGGGAUAGCUCAGUUGGGAGAGCGUCAGACUAAAGAUUUGAAGGUCGCGGGUUCUAUCCACGUUCACUGCA
Molecule: non-coding RNA, 73 nt
Organism: Capsicum annuum
Lineage: Eukaryota; Viridiplantae; Streptophyta; Magnoliopsida; Solanales; Solanaceae
Source: Rfam